Molecule: ribosomal RNA, 459 nt
Filed under: uncultured bacterium
Lineage: Bacteria
Description: partial 16S ribosomal RNA
Rfam family: Bacterial small subunit ribosomal RNA
Source: RNAcentral
CCUACGGGAGGCAGCAGUGAGGAAUAUUGGUCAAUGGCCGCAGGGCUGAACCAGCCAAGUCGCGUGAGGGAUGACGGUCCUAUGGAUUGUAAACCUCUUUUGUCAGGGAGCAAAGGGCGCCACGUGUGGCGCUUUGCGAGUACCCGAAGAAAAAGCAUCGGCUAACUCCGUGCCAGCAGCCGCGGUAAUACGGAGGAUGCGAGCGUUAUCCGGAUUUAUUGGGUUUAAAGGGUGCGCAGGCGGAAUGUCAAGUCAGCGGUAAAAUUUCGGGGCUCAACCCCGUCGUGCCGUUGAAACUGGCGUUCUUGAGUGAGCGAGAAGUAUGCGGAAUGCGUGGUGUAGCGGUGAAAUGCAUAGAUAUCACGCAGAACUCCGAUUGCGAAGGCAGCAUACCGGCGCUCAACUGACGCUCAUGCACGAAAGCGUGGGUAUCGAACAGGAUUAGAUACCCCGGUAGUC